AUUAACGCUAGCGGCAGGCAUAAUACAUGCAAGUUGAACGGCAGCACAGGUAGCAAUACUGGGUGGCGAGUGGCGCACGGGUGCGUAACACGUAUGCAACCUACCCUAUACAGGCGAAUAACCUUUAGAAAUGAGGGCUAAUACGCCGUAGUAUUACAGAUGGGCAUCUAUUUGUAAUUAAAGAUUUAUCGGUAUAGGAUGGGCAUGCGUCCCAUUAGUUAGUUGGUAAGGUAACGGCUUACCAAGACGAUGAUGGGU
RNAcentral lists this ribosomal RNA (258 nucleotides) under uncultured bacterium. RNAcentral describes it as "partial 16S ribosomal RNA". It matches the Rfam family "Bacterial small subunit ribosomal RNA", at positions 29 to 284 of the family's 1533-position model. The record is from RNAcentral.